Molecule: long non-coding RNA, 6049 nt
Organism: Crotalus tigris (Tiger rattlesnake)
Lineage: Eukaryota; Metazoa; Chordata; Lepidosauria; Squamata; Viperidae
Exons: 4
Source: RefSeq, a predicted model, not a curated record
CCCUUCCUUCUGCCUAGCCUCCUUCCCACACUUAUCAGGGAGUCUGCUCAAGGGCAGCAAUGCCACUCUGCCUGUUGCUUUCCGGGUAGCCCACUAAUACCCCUGGUUUGGUAAUGGAGGAAGAACCAUGUGCACCACCUUCUUGGCCAUCACAACUCUAAUACUGCUGCUACGUCGAUACUUCUUCAACAAAGUUGAACCAGAAAAAACAGAAGAAACAAAGGAGGCUGAAUCGGAUUCCUCUGAAAGAGAAGCAGGAAAUUAAACUCUGGCCCUGCAGGAAGUAUAGAUGCAAAUGGAAAAGAAACAUGUUUUCCUGUAUUAUAGUAUCACCUGGCGGAAAAUUCACAAUAUGUUAUUGAUUAUAUCAUGUUCAGGAAAGAAGAAAUGAAGUCACUGCGCCUUUAAGAUGCAAGACAGAAAGAAAGAAGCCACAAGUGACAAGAAAAGGCAGCAUUAAGAUCUCCUGCAGAAACAUGCUGUUGCAAAAGUAAUGGGAAGAGAUACCCUGGAGGAAACAUUUUCCACUGCCCUAAAUUGAGAAAAUUACAUGUGUUGUGGUUUUAAUUUUUUUCCCAAGAUGUAAAUCCCUAAAGAAAUAAAUAGUCCCAUGAGCCCAGCAAAAGUCAAAACAGUUGAAUUAUUCUUGGAUCAACAAAGAGUACAAGCUACCAGAUGAAACAGAGGGUUUACUGGUGUGACUGGAGUUUUCAGUUACUCAACCAUUUAACGGCAUGUUCUUGGCACUAAGAGGUGUUUCAGCAUUAAUGUGAACGCAUGUUGGGUACAUAAUACAUAUGAAUUUGGAAGGGUUCACAUAUGAACUUGAAACAGUUCAUUUGUCUUGCUGUCUUCCUGUACAUGACAGUUUCUUCCUCCCAUUGUAUAGUAUAAAGAUACGUAGCUUACAAAUUUGGGAGAAACAGCCAACUAUAUUUUACAUAAAGGUAGGAGUGGCAGCUGAGGUACAUUUCUUGGUGAUUGGGUACAUCUUAUAGAUUUUUUGAAAUGGGGAAAAAAUCAACUUGAAGUUUAUGGUUUUGAUGAUUAGACAGGAUAGUUUAUAGAAGGAAGAGAUAUAAGAGAUAUAAUUUUAGAGAGGGGGUCAGAAUAUAAUUGUACUUAUAACUGCUGUGAAGAAUAUUGGAAUUACUUCUUUAUACCUUUCUUUUUUCUACUUUCUUCUUUCAGGGUUUUUUUCUGUUGUUUUUCUUUUCUCCCCUCUGUUCUAUCUAGUGUAUAUAAGUUCUUCUAUUAUUCUGAAGACAUUUAAUAAAAAAUUAAGUAUGAAAAAAUGGAAUGAUGGCUGGGAAAAAUAGUGUCAUUAAAAAUGCAGGCUGGGCAGGAAAGUAGUCAAAAGGCUCAGGCACUUAAUCGUUAAAUUCAACUGGGAUGUUACAUGCAAUAUCUAUUUUGCUAGCUCUGAAUCUCAGUUUCUUUAUAUAUAGGAAACAUAUAUCAGGCAUAAGGAACCAGAAUAAUACUGUGAGCUGAUCAAUUAGUUCUCUUUUUGUUGCAUGCCUAUUUGCAGGAAUCUGACUUCAUUUUCUUGAGAACUGUCAGAUAAGGCUUUAGGGUUUCUGGGGGCGAGAGGCAAUAUCUGCACCAUUUCUUGCUGUGCAAGAAUUCUAAGCUCAGCCCUUCUCCAUGCUUCCUCCCAGUCUAGUUGGAGAUUCCAUCACAAACAAUAAAUACUGCUCCAACUUUCCCCAACCUAGGCUAGAGCACCUCCAGAUGGUUGAAAGAGACCAUCAGUUGAUCAGAUUCGAAGAAUUAACCUCACUUUGUCUAAUUUACUGCAUUCUAGAAGUGAUGUACCUACAAUCCCAAGACAAGGCGGUCAUGCUACCAGAAGUACUGGGAAUUGUAGUUGCAACAUAACUAGAGCUAUCGGAUGGAAGAAAUGCAAUUAGCAAUAUGACAAUUCCAGUGUUUUGGGUGUUUUGAAUGAUGAGAAGGCUAUUUUCCUACAACAGUGGAAAUGAGGGGAGGGAAAGCUACCAAGACAUCCAAAAUGGGGAUUUAAAUAAAUAGAGAUGAACAGCUAAGUAGCACUCAGCUAAUGCAACACAGAUGUCCCACACUCAGCUGGAAAACAAUUAACCCAGAUAUUUUACUGUGAACUCAUUUGCUCAUAGCCGCUGAAAUAUAAAGUCUAAGCAGCAGCUAGAAGAGCAAGACUACUCAGUAGUGGGGGUACUAUUCGUGUUAGUUCACCAUUUGCUUAAGAGAAUGGAGGAACAAAAGUAUCUUUAAGGAAGGCUUGAAUUGUUUCUAUUCAAGAUUUAUACAAUGGAACUAAAGUUUCACAGAUCCAGAAGAUAGGUUAACUUUUGGAAGGAGUAAGCACAUUCUGAAUGUUGAGGGCAUGUCAUGAAUAACAAAAUGGUAUCAAGGGGCUGAUCUUUUCCUAAAAGGGUUGUCAACUGCAAAGCAACCAUCUGCCCAAAAGCAGGUAAAUGAGGUUCCCCAUCAUCUUCUCUGGGCCCACUCCCCCACUAAUGAUAUGGGACAAUCCUGUAUACUUUCUGCAUUUUCUCUAAGUGUAUAGACUGCACUCCGUACAAUCACAUUCCUGUAAUCCUAGAGUCUACUGCAUUUGUUCUCGGCACACCAACUUAUUUAUUUUUAAUUAAAAGAUUUUUUUUUAAGAUCAAAGGGAGCAAUAACUCUGGCAGGAAAAUGACCCUGAGUACCACAUUGCCUCUGCAUUGUUUGUAGAGGUUGGAGAAAGUAUUUGAUCGUGGGGCAAAAGAGAUUAUAAAUAGUAAAUGACAUUGACUCCAAGAGGUAGUUAAUAAAAGCUUACAUUUCAGUUCUUACAUUUUCCUAACUUUUCCUUUAACUCAGGAUUUUUUUUUUUUUUUUUUGAAAAAAAAACAACCUUAAUGACUAGCAAGUUCUUGUAAUAAGAUUUUCUUGCUCCUCUAGGAACAUUUCAUUAAGUCUUUACAACUCUCAUUCCAUAUCCUUAAUGAGAUUUUUUGGUCUGGAAAUAAUGUCUGUCAUCAAAAUCACUACUCUGUUGGGACCUUCUUCAUUUCUGUAGCUGAUUACUAGCAAACAGAGAGAGGGGAGGCCACAGAAGGAACACUAAUUAAAGAGAGACUGGGAAUAGGGAACAGAAGCUGAAAAGGCUGAAGAAAGAGAAAUUGUAUAAAGUAGAAGUAUGAUUGGUCAACUCUGGACAAUGGAAGCUUAUAAAUACCCUUUGGAAAAGUUUGGUAAAGUCUAAGAGAAGUACUUUGUACCAUAUCUUUUGUAACAUAUUUCCCACUUUCCUCUAUGUUGCAGCUUUAUCAUAUUUUAAAACACAGCACUGAUGUCCCAUUACAUUUGGACAAAUUUGAUUAUUAUCAGUAAAAUGUUUUUAUGACUUCAUGCUAGUCAAUUCAAAUGUGUGUGUAUGUAUGUAUAUAUACACACACACACACACACACACACUUAUGCAAGAUAGCUGUGGCAAUAUGCGAGAAACUGGUUUCCUUUAUCCAUAAUUAAAUGAAUUCUUCUGAAAUUAAGGAAGACAUUUGGUGUUAAAUGGGAAGAUAUAUUUUAACCAUGUUUAUUUUUUAAACAAUUAAACAUUAUUGUUUAGAAAAGCACAGUUCCCUAAUUCAGAUGUGGCAAAACAAAUGUGCCAUAGCAUUUACAAAGAAGAACCUCAAAGUUGUACUUCUUUGGCAUUUAAUAUUUUGGGGGGCAGUUCUGAACAUAGGUUAUUCCCUGGGCUCAUCACCAUUUUUAAUCCCAAUUCCAAGAUGGUUUACAUGUCAUUUCUUGAGCUGACAUCUGGUUAUCUAACUGCUGCUAAGGCAAAUGGAAGGCAGUUCAAGGUGACCUAGCAGGAAAGUGGAAUUUUCUGAGACAAUCUAUGGAGACAUUCUGUGUCACUUUGCAGAAUUGUCUUCCAAAGGUCAAAGAGCUGCUGAGCUCCAAUGGCUAGCUGCAGGUCCAUUUCCUCUCAUCUGGUGAUUGAGCUCCUUGUCUCUGUCUAUAGCCACAGAACUACUGGGGCAGUCUCCUUCUUUUCUUUUCUUUUUUUUUUUUUUUUUGUGGUAUACUGGGAAAGAAGAUUUACCACAUGGGAAAUCAAAAUUUGGUCCCUCCAUGAAGCUGUUAUUCCCACCAGUAAGGAGUUAGCACGACUUCACCAGCAACUUUUACUUAUCUUACAGUUCUGCUUAUUUAUUCCCAAAAAACUAGUAUAAUAUAUUAAGGAUUUCAUUUCUCAUUUCUCUCUCUUUCUCAUACAUGGAUACUAAUUAGAAAAGGUACAAGAACACAGCUGCAAGAAAAUUCCAGAAUCUACACUGGAGUAAUAUCCUGACUUACCAAACUCAAUUUCUCCAGAUAGCUUAAUAGUAAGCAAGUGGUCCAACACCAAAGACUUUGCCCAGAAUCAACUGGAACGAAUUGAGAAGUGGGUGCAGAAAGCUAGUGAUAUCUCCUUUCUUUUGAAAUGGAUAGAAAAUGAAAAGUAGUUGUGGGAAAACUGCUCCACGUGUGUGAGCAGGGGGAAAGAGUAAAGGGGCAGGGAUGGAGUACUUUUCUCUCCUGUUUUUUUCUUUGAUCCCAUCCUGGCAGUUUUCUGGAGAGCAUGACUGAUAUCUGUAAGAGAGUGCAGCAACUUUAUGAGCCCUAUUUCUGAGGCAUGGAAUAACUGUGGGGGAUAACAGUUGCCAAAAUGGCUUUUUUCCUUCUACCUUGAGGAUAAGAGAAAAUCUCUGCAGUGGGGCUGUCUUAAUGAUAGCUUUUUAAUUGGGACAUGGAAUAUACAGUAAUUGGAUGGUCUUGACUUCAAACAUUGAUGGUAUAUAUAUAUAAAUGGACAUAUCAAGUAUAUUCUACUUAAAAUAGUACCUUAAAAGAGUACAUAAAGCUCUAACAAUUUAUCUUCAGUCCAGUUCUACCUCCAGGUACCAUAUUUUUUUAUCCAAGAAUUGAUAAUACUAUACAGAAUAAUCCAUUUUUUUGAAAUGAAACAUCCCAUUAUUUGAUUAAGAGACAACAUUCUGCUCAUAGUAUUCCAUGGAAGAAGAUCCGCUGGGAAAACUGCCCUGGCUGACCUAAUAGUGGGUGGAUUUGCUCUUUUGAACAAGGAUUUCUGGCCCGCCCCUGGCCUUUACUGUCUGGAGUUAAAUUUGUGUUUGUCCCAGAAGGUUCUUGAUGAGUGGGAAUGGGCAACUCUCCAUUCUGCUAUUUUCUCAUCACCCAAAAACCACAGCUAGUUUUUAUGAGAAAAAAAAACACACAAAAUUGAUGUUGAUUAUAUUGGACCAAUAGGCCUCAGAGAAGGAACUGCUGGUUUCUUUCCAAGUUCUUGUUUUGACAACCAUUGGGUCUGCUUCGAUUUUGGGACACUCUAUCACCAAGCAACUCUAUGUAGUUGAACCCUUAGCUGGAAAACCUUCACUGGAAAUAAGGAUGAUCUUGACUCCAGCCUACAUUUCUCAUUAUCUGUACUGUAGAGUCAAACAUGACAUAGAUUUGUAUCUUCUGACAUUUCAAGGCAAUGGUGUAAGAGUAAGAGUUGAAGAUUUCUUGGGUAAGAGGCCUCAGGAUGGGGCCUAAGGUGCUUUUAUUUCCCAGUUUUUCUGCCCACUCCCCCUUCCUACCACUGGUUUUCUUAUUAAAUGUGCAUAGGAAGUAUGAAUGAACAAGAGCAGGAUUUUCAUUCUCUUUUUCCAUUAACUUUUUAAAAGGCUUGGGUGCAUUGCAGGAAAAAUCUGUACUUAUACCCAGCAUCUUUGUAUCCCCAGAGAAUCUCUAGGGAAAAAGAGGCAAUUCAUAGUUACAUAUCUGCUUGAACAUUUGUGUGAUUGCUGUUUUAUCUGAACAAAAAAGAAAGCCUCGAUUCUGAAUUUGUGAGUUCUUCGGACUGAAGUGCGAUGUUAGCAAUAUGAUUGACUCAGAACUUGCCUUGCAGUCAGUUGGAAGCAGGCUCUUUGUAUACUUUAUAUUCUGUAUCUGUUUUUUUGUGCUGGACAGAUUUAUUGAUGUGCUGGCUGUCCAAUGUGAAAUAAAUCUUGGAAGUCUCCAUAGAGGA